This 399-nucleotide ribosomal RNA is filed under the name uncultured bacterium. Its description in RNAcentral is "partial 16S ribosomal RNA". It matches the Rfam family "Bacterial small subunit ribosomal RNA", at positions 360 to 776 of the family's 1533-position model. The record is from RNAcentral.
AAUAUUUCACAAUGGGCGAAAGCCUGAUGCAGCCACGCCGCGUGAGUGAUGAAGGCCUUCGGGUCGUAAAGCUCUUUGUUUGGGGAUGAUAAUGACAGUACCUGAAAAACAAGUCACGGCUACCUACGUGCCAGCAGCCGCGGUAAUACGUAGGUGGCGAGCGUUGUCCGGAAUUACUGGGGGUAAAGGAUGCGUAGGUGGAUACUUAAGUGGGAUGUGAAAUACCCGGGCUCAACCCGGGAACUGCAUUCCAAACUGGAUAUCUAGAGUGCAGGAGAGGAAAGCGGAAGUCCUAGUGUAGCGGUGAAAUGCGUAGAUAUUAGGAGGAACACCAGUGGCGAAGGCGGCUUUCUGGACUGUAACUGACACUGAGGCAUGAAAGCGUGGGUAGCAAACAGG